RNAcentral lists this ribosomal RNA (407 nucleotides) under uncultured cyanobacterium. Its description in RNAcentral is "bacterial SSU rRNA". It matches the Rfam family "Bacterial small subunit ribosomal RNA", at positions 355 to 776 of the family's 1533-position model. The record is from RNAcentral. Lineage: Bacteria; Bacillati; Cyanobacteriota.
UGGGGAAUUUUCCGCAAUGGGCGAAAGCCUGACGGAGCAAGACCGCGUGGGGGAGGAAGGCCCUUGGGUUGUAAACCCCUUUUAUCAGGGAAGAAACAAAUGACGGUACCUGAUGAAUCAGCCUCGGCUAACUCCGUGCCAGCAGCCGCGGUAAUACGGAGGAGGCAAGCGUUAUCCGGAAUUAUUGGGCGUAAAGCGUCCGCAGGUGGCUAAUCAAGUCCGCGGUUAAAGACCGGAGCUCAACUCCGGAGCAGCCGUAGAAACUGAAAAGCUAGAGACCGGUAGGGGUAGUGGGAAUUCCCAGUGUAGCGGUGAAAUGCGUAGAGAUUGGGAAGAACAUCGGUGGCGAAAGCGCACUACUGGGCCGGUUCUGACACUGAGGGACGAAAGCUAGGGUAGCGAAAGGG